GCAAGUCGAACGGUAGCAGGAUGUGCUUGCACAUCGCUGACGAGUGGCGGACGGGUGAGUAAUGCUUGGGAACUUGCCUUUGCGAGAGGGAUAACAGUUGGAAACGACUGCUAAUACCGCAUAACGUCUUCGGACCAAACUGCGCUUAGGCUCCGGCGCAGAGAGAGGCCCAAGUGAGAUUAGCUAGUUGGUGGGGUAAAGGCUCACCAAGGCAACGAUCUCUAGCUGGUCUGAGAGGAAGAUC
RNAcentral lists this ribosomal RNA (244 nucleotides) under uncultured bacterium. RNAcentral describes it as "partial 16S ribosomal RNA". It matches the Rfam family "Bacterial small subunit ribosomal RNA", at positions 57 to 305 of the family's 1533-position model. The record is from RNAcentral.